Molecule: long non-coding RNA, 594 nt
Filed under: Equus caballus (horse)
Lineage: Eukaryota; Metazoa; Chordata; Mammalia; Perissodactyla; Equidae
Description: lncRNA (ENSECAG00000043833.1)
Source: RNAcentral
UCAAGUGUUUGUGGUGAUGCUGGUGUAAGCAAACAAGAGAAAAGAUCCAUUCAAGGUGAAUCUUUUCUACAUCAUUUCUACUUAAUAAUGGAUUGCAGCUGUCCAUGCCCAACUUUAUGGUUUAGUGGAUCACAUAACAUCCGGCUCAUGAUGGGAUGCUCAGAGUCCUGAGCUGUCUAUAAGAAGUCUGACAAAUCUGAGACCAGCCUGCUGUGAGGAAACCCAAGCCACAGGAAGAUGCCACCAGGAGGCAAUCUGGUCAACCAUUCCAACUGAGCCCAGACUUGGAAUCAUCCCAGUCCAUGCCCAACCUGACUGACCAGCUUAUGGAGAAUCUGGUUAUGGAAAUGUUUACUGAGGGGGCAGCUUCAUGGACCAUAGACUUCGGAAGUCCAGCUAUGAAGCCCAGCAAUCUGCAAUAACUGUAGAGUCACUCUCUACAACGGUUACCAAACUCUUCCACCCAGUUCUGCUAAGAACUUCCAGCCUUGGUCCAGAUGUCAGCUGCAAACCGUGAUAUUCUCUGUACAGAGAUGAUUGAAAGGCCAGAUUCUCAGUUGCUCACAUGUAAAUAAAGAAAUGGAUUAAUUUCAG